AGAGGCAGCAAGAACAAAGAGCCUCGAGCUACUCAAAAGAAAGCCGAGCCUCCGGGGGAAAAACGGCCCAGAGGACGACCAAGGAAAUGGCCUCAACGACCAGCACAAGAAGAGGAGA
This is a long non-coding RNA of Callorhinchus milii (elephant shark), 118 nucleotides long. RefSeq lists it as uncharacterized. The transcript is spliced from 3 exons. The record is from RefSeq and is a predicted model, not a curated record. NCBI's taxonomy places the organism in Eukaryota, Metazoa, Chordata, Chondrichthyes, Chimaeriformes, Callorhinchidae.